Molecule: ribosomal RNA, 467 nt
Filed under: uncultured bacterium
Lineage: Bacteria
Description: partial 16S ribosomal RNA
Rfam family: Bacterial small subunit ribosomal RNA
Source: RNAcentral
GAUGAACGCUGGCGGCGCGCCUAACACAUGCAAGUCGAACGAUUAAAGCACCUUCGGGUGCGUAUAAAGUGGCGAACGGCCGAGUAACACGUGGGCAACCUGCCUCUUUCAUUGGGAUAGCCACGGGAAACCGUGGAUAAUACCGAACACCUCGAGACUUCCGCAUGGAAGACUCGAGAAAGCUCCGGCGGCGCGGGAUGGGCUCGCGGCCUGUUAGCUUGUUGGUGGGGUAACGGCCUACCAAGGCAAUGGUGGGUAGCUGGGUUGAGAGACCGGCCAGCCAGAUUGGGACUGAGGCACGACCCAUUCUCCUGCGGGAAGCAGCAGUGGGGAGUCUUGCACAAUGGGCGAAAGCCUGAUGCGGCGGCGCCGCGUGCGGGAUGAAGGCCUUCGAGUUAUGAACCACUUUCAGCAGGGACGAGGCGAAAGUGGCGGUACCUGCAGAAGAAGCCCCGGCUAACUACGUG